UUUAAGACCCAUAUGUCAACUUUUGACAGAUGUCCUAAAAUGAAAUUGGCAGAAUCUAGGAAUUAGCAGGUGUUGUCUUAAAUUCAUCUCAUGAAUUAAGACAUGCUUUUUCUAAGCUAGACAGGCUUUAUUUAGACUGAGAAAAAUCUUUCUAAGAUUCUCUGGAUGAGUCAAAUUAUAUUUGGCUCAGUAGAGACAGAAAAGAUUACACGAGAAGAAAGUUAGGCUCAAUCGUGUGAUAGCACGAUUUUCUUGAACCUAGUUGGAUCUUAUCCAAAUCAAUUGGGUUAG
Molecule: long non-coding RNA, 291 nt
Filed under: Elaeis guineensis (African oil palm)
Lineage: Eukaryota; Viridiplantae; Streptophyta; Magnoliopsida; Arecales; Arecaceae
Description: long non-coding RNA (EGUI_LNC080931)
Source: RNAcentral